Molecule: non-coding RNA, 664 nt
Organism: Chrysemys picta bellii (western painted turtle)
Lineage: Eukaryota; Metazoa; Chordata; Testudines; Emydidae
Source: RefSeq, a predicted model, not a curated record
GUGUUCCUGACAUAUCUAAAAUUAUCUGCACUUCAGAGCAGAAACAUUGUGUGGGUUUGUCCCCCACCAUUGCCACAACACAAAUACCCUAAGUAUCUUUCAAAAUAAACACAGGAAACUUCUUGUUGGAAGUGCAGGUGGAAGGCAGGCCCGGCUGGCUCCUGGCAUGUCACGAGCGGUGGAAUCUCUCCCUGGGGACUCUGAUCUGUAGGCAGCUGGGAUAUCUCCAGUGAUGAUAUUUGCUGUUGCUUCUGCAGACUCGCCCAUCACAAAGGAGUGAACCUGACAGAUGUCAAGAGUGCAGCGUGCGCUCCAGGGCAGCCCGGAUCGUGGGCGGAAGCGAUGCCCCAUUGGGACGCUGGCCGUGGCAGGUCAGCCUGUACCUCAACUCCAGACACGUCUGCGGAGGCUCCAUGGUGGCGCACGACUGGAUCGUCACGGCUGCUCACUGCGUGCACAAUUACAGGCAGCCUGAGGUCUACCACCCCCGCUAUGACGACAGGAGUCAUGACUAUGACAUCGCACUGAUGAAACUCACAGCGCUCUUGAACUCCUCCGAUGCCGUCCGUGCAGUGUGUUUACCGCUGUACCAGCAGGAUUUCCCCCACGGCACCCACUGCUGGAUCUCCGGCUGGGGCUACACCAGACCUGAACACGGUGAGCA